UCUUGGCCAUAAAUUAAAAGAAAUUUACCAGGGUACUAUGAAUACUUAAAAUUUAAAACUCAAAGGACUUGGCGGUGUUUUAGACCUCUCAGGGGAACCUGUCUCAUAAUCGAUAAUCCACGCAAUAUCUAACCUUUUUUAGUAAUUCAGCCUGUAUACCGUUGUCGUCAGGUAACUUUUUAGAAACUAGAAGUUAGCUAAAAAUAUUUAUAAAUUAGUACGUCAAAUCAAGGUGCAGCCUAUAAAAAGGAGAGGAUGGGUUACAAUUAUAUAUUUAUAAUUACGGAAAAUCAUGAGAAUUCAUGAUAUAGAAGGAGGACUUGAAAGUAAAUUAGAAUAUAAAAAUAAUUUGAAUAAGGCUCUGAAAUGUGU
This 372-nucleotide ribosomal RNA is filed under the name Turricula nelliae spuria. RNAcentral describes it as "Turricula nelliae spurius partial small subunit ribosomal RNA". Lineage: Eukaryota; Metazoa; Mollusca; Gastropoda; Neogastropoda; Clavatulidae. The record is from RNAcentral.